ACGGGUGAGUAACACGUAGGUAACCUGCCUAUGAGACUGGGAUAACUAUCGGAAACGAUAGCUAAGACCGGAUAACUGGUUUUCUCGCAUGAGAGAAUCAUGAAGCACGGAGCAAUCUGUGGCUUAUAGAUGGGCCUGCGGCGCAUUAGCUAGUUGGUAGGGUAAUGGCCUACCAAGGCGACGAUGCGUAGCCGACCUGAGAGGGUGAACGGCCACACUGGGACUGAGACACGGCCCAGACUCCUACGGGAGGCAGCAGUAGGGAAUCUUCCGCAAUGGACGCAAGUCUGACGGAGCAACGCCGCGUGAGUGAUGAAGGUUUUCGGAUCGUAAAGCUCUGUUGCCCUAGACGAACAGCAAGGAGAGUAACUGCUCUUUGUGUGACGGUAUAGGAGAAGAAAGCCCCGGCUAACUACGUGCCAGCAGCCGCGGUAAUACGUAGGGGCAAGCGUUGUCCGGAAUUAUUGGGCGUAAAGCGCGCGCAGGCGGUUAAUUAAGUUGGGUGUUUAAGCCCGGGGCUCAACCCCGGUUCGCAUCCAAAACUGGUUGACUUGAGUGUAGGAGAGGAAAGUGGAAUUCCACGUGUAGC
RNAcentral lists this ribosomal RNA (589 nucleotides) under uncultured bacterium. Its description in RNAcentral is "bacterial SSU rRNA". It matches the Rfam family "Bacterial small subunit ribosomal RNA", at positions 102 to 679 of the family's 1533-position model. The record is from RNAcentral.